This 224-nucleotide ribosomal RNA is filed under the name uncultured bacterium. RNAcentral's name for it is "partial 16S ribosomal RNA". It matches the Rfam family "Bacterial small subunit ribosomal RNA", at positions 28 to 253 of the family's 1533-position model. The record is from RNAcentral.
GACGAACGCUGGCGGCGUGCUUAACACAUGCAAGUCGAGCGGUAAGGCCCUUUCGGGGGUACACGAGCGGCGAACGGGUGAGUAACGCGUGGGUGACCUGCCCUUAGCUCUGGGAUAAGCCUGGGAAACUAGGGUCUAAUACCGGAUAUGACUCCAUGACGCAUGUUGUGGGGUGAAAGCCUUGUGCGGCUAGGGAUGGGCCUGCGGCCUAUCAGCUUGUUGGU